This 1559-nucleotide long non-coding RNA is filed under the name Bos indicus x Bos taurus (hybrid cattle). Its description in RNAcentral is "lncRNA (ENSBIXG00005006693.1)". Lineage: Eukaryota; Metazoa; Chordata; Mammalia; Artiodactyla; Bovidae. The record is from RNAcentral.
CUUGAUCCCUGUCUCCUGUACAGUGUCAUGAAUCUCCAUCCAUAGUUCAUCAGGCACUCUUUCUAUCAGAACUAGUCCCUUAAAUCUAUUUCUAACUUCCACUGUAUAAUCAUAAGGGAUUUGAUUUAGGUCAUACCUGAAUGGUCUAGUGGUUUUCCCCAAGUGUUAUUAGGCAAGACAUUUUCCUGUUUAUGCCAUAGUUUCCUAUUCUGUUGAAUGAGGCAGUUAUAUUAGUUUUAUCUCUAAGGACCUAAAAGUGUCAACUUUAUACUUUUCUAAGUUCUGUAGAGACAGUUUCUAUAGCUCAUUAAUUUGGGUCUUCCCAUAACUCUAGCACAGUACUCAGUUAAUACUUCUUCAUGGCAUUUACAUGGUUUCUUUCUUGUUUUCUUUUGUAGCUCCUGGUUGUUCCCUUCAUAUUUGCCAAAUCAUUAUCUUUCCCUGAAGUAGUGCAAAGAGCAAGAAAUGUGAACACACCAAGGAAGAUCAACAUGCCUGCAAUGCUAGCAUUUUAGAAUAGCAGAAUGAAUUUGUCUCUUCUGUUUCUUACCCUCUUCCAUGUCUGCCUUUGCUUAUCUUUUAAACUCAUAAGUGUGUAUUUGUUUGUUUGUCUGUUUCUUCUUUGAAUGUCUUUGGUCUUUCUUGUCUAAAGUAUGUCUUACCCAUUUCCAUGAUUCUCUUGCUAGUUUCUUCUCUGUAUAUCUUUGUCUCAUUUACUUUUUUGUACCCAGGAGUGGUUUGUGUCUUGUCUUAAAUGUCUCUCUCUAGUUUUCUUCAUUUUGUUACUGAUUCUCCUUGCUCUGCUAGAUCUAGCUCUUCUUUCACCGUUCUCUGUGAGCCUCUUGAGUUAUGUGUGCCUUUUGCUCAUUUCUUGCUAUGCCUGCCUCUCUUCUUUUUCUCUUUGUGAACUCUGUCACCCGUUCCCCUUGUUGGCUUGACAUUUCACCUUUUCUGAUACUGGCUACCCUUCUGCUGUUUCUACUCUUUAUCUUGCAUAUUUCUCUUUUCUACAUAUUCUUUGUGCCUUUCUUGGGCUAUUUUCUCUUUUUUUCCUCAUGCUUUGUGUGCCCCAGUGUCUCUUUGUUCUUCUCUCCUUUUGCCUUUCUAUUCACUUUUGAGUAUUUCUUGAGUCUAUGUCUCCCCCUCUUUGAUUUCAUGCAAUUCUCUCUCCUGGCAUAUUUUUUCAUGCGUGUUUGUGUGUGUGCUCUUUUGUGUGUUUGUAAAGGCGCCUCCUAACCCCUUCCAGUAGGUGCAGAGUGUCAGCUAUCAAAAUAAGCAUUGCAGAGCUGUUCGUUAUGCCAGGCCGCCCUGUGAGAUGAUCCAAAACCAACAGAAGGUCCAAGGGUCUAGACUGGAGUUGGAUAGAAGACUCAAGUCUCCGUGAGACAGAAGGCCAAAGACCUAGGAUGGGAUUAAAAAACCUUGUCUUGAAGACCUGUGACCCAAAAGAUGGAAGUGCCCUAGCACACACAAAGACCCAGGACUCAAACCUAUCUAUAUAAGACAGAAGGCCCAAGAGAGACAGAUAUUUCAAGACUAAAUUAGAUGGGAAACUGGAG